Fundulus heteroclitus (mummichog) is the source of this 2248-nucleotide long non-coding RNA. RefSeq lists it as uncharacterized. The transcript has 2 exons. Lineage: Eukaryota; Metazoa; Chordata; Actinopteri; Cyprinodontiformes; Fundulidae. The record is from RefSeq and is a predicted model, not a curated record.
UCCUCCUCCUCUUCCUCCAUUUAGUUGCUCUUUCUCCUCCUCUUUCUCCGUGAGGUUUUUACGGCGCUCAUCUCCUGUAAAGUUUUAUGUGUGUGAGAUGAAGAUGCUGAUGUUGAAUUUGUCCUCGUGUCUGGAGACGCAGCAUCAUGAUGAGUCCAGUCUAGAGCAGCAGGAUGAGAGCUUGUUGCUGUUUGGAGGCAUCUGGGAACAUCUGCAGGGCUUAAAACGAGCUGAUGACGGGUUUAUUGUCUGAGCUUCUCUUUCUCCAUGUUUCCCUCUGACUUCCAUCUGCUGGAUGUUGAUUAACCCAGAAAUGAUUCCUCCACCAUUCAGCGUCUCCUUCUAAUCUUCCUCUCCCUCCUGUUUCAUGCUGAGACCUCCUUGUCAGAUCAGAUCUUGGGGGGGUUUCUUCCUGGGUUCUGGUUGUGUGAACCUUUGGAGCUCCAGCCUCUGGUUCUGGAUGUUUGUUGCUCUCAUUGAUCAUUUUCACUGUCAGAAGUCUGAGCGUCAACGUUUACCUCAGAUAUCAGGACAUGUGAGACGGUUCUGAUGUCCGCUGUUGGUUCAGUCCAUUUUCUGUGUGUCUGGGACUUUUGGGUUGGAGCUGAUGUUGCUGCUGGAGGAGAUGUGGGGAAAGUCUUCUGUGUUAAACUUUCUGAUGCUGCUGCUGAUCACAAUUGCCAAGUUUCUGUUAAAUCACCUGGAAAGAUGAGCGUGUCUGGAAAAGUAUUGUUCAUAUUGGAGCGCCACCCAUUACCAUUCACCUCUAAUCUGGACUCUUUAUUAUUAACACGUGGACAUAAAUGCAGCCCAAACUGUAGGGUGCACCCUAUCAAUAUAUGUAUCAAAAUAUGCGUCUCUAUCUUGAGAUGUGUACUAUUACUUUUCUUUGUGUUUCCAGUUACUAUGGUGACAUAAUUAGCAAAAAAACAUGGUAAAAAAUCACAUUGGAAUGAGUGGAGUAAUCAAAACCACUGUUUUUGAGCCUUCCCUGUGUUGUUUUAUGUUGUCCUAAAACACGGUUUUAUCUUUCAGUUUGUAGAUACAUCCGUCCUCUCUUCAGAAGUGGAGACCGUAUGUUAACACUUGCUACAAUUUCUUCAAAAUGCGCCUCAAACCCCCACAAAGUUUGUGGGAAAAUGUUAGAGUGCGAUCACAGCUAACAGUUUUUUCCCCCACAAAAUAUAGAUUUUUAACUCACCCUCACAGCCACAAAUGUCGCUCCACAGUCGCCGUUUUUGCACAGUUUGUGGUCACGUCUUUCAGCUUUCAUAGAAUAUAUUCAGAAUUGCUCUAGGUCUAGGUCCUAUAGUUUUUUUUGUGAAGGCUAUCCUAACUGCAUGAAAGUCUCAGAAUUGCACAGAUUUUUUUCAAUGCAAUUUCUGUCCCAGCUUGCCCAGAAAUGAUGGAGCCAUACAUCAUAUUCACAUUGUUAAAUCUUUUACAUCUAAUGAAGUAAGGCUGUCGCUCACGGUUUGAACUAUUUUUCAGAUAUCAAUUACAGUUUUCAUGUAGCGUACAUUUGGUCUGGGCUUUAUUUCUCAUCUGCUCUCCCCAGAGGUCACCAGAGGUCACCAGAGGUCACUAGAGGUCACCAGAGGUCACUAGAGGUCAGCAGCCUCUCUCAGUGAAAACACAUUUUUUAACUUAUCUUCACUCUGGGGUCACCAUUUUCAGUCAGUUUGGUGUCUUACAGUUCUGCUUUCAGAAAAUAUUUUUACUAUCGCUGAAGGUCUUACAGUUUUCCCUAAACCCGUCCUGAUCGUACAAAGCUAAAAUAAUAGAGUGGUGUCUCUAUUUUUAAUAUAAUGUGAUCAGUUGUGUCAAAUGCCUUUUUUAGUUCAACAAACAGACCAACUACAAACUUGUUUUUAUCUAUGAAGCUGCUGAAUCCCUGCCAAGGCUGUUGAUCUAUAAGAUCUAAAUUCAUGUUGACUUUUAGAAAAUACUUUGUGUUUAUCAAUUAAGUUUUCCAGACUGUUAAUAAAGAGUUUUUCUAAAAUCAUCAAAAAUGUGUGGAAGCAGAGAAACAGUCUAUAGUUGGUGAAUUGGAGUCUAUCUGCUAAUUUUUGCAGUUUUCAUUUUGUUUGGAAAUUCACCGGUUUGGAAAGAGACAAAGGUUUAACAGUUGCAUCAAUAACUAUUUUUACUGUUGCCAAUAAAUGUCAUCACAGUCAGAGGAGCUUUUGUUUUUAUUUACAGCUAUGAUUUCUCUCUCUUUCACUGCUGUGAUAAAACAUUGAACCUG